UUGGUUCUGGCAUCGAUGAAGAACGCAGCAAAAUGCGAUAAGUAACGUGAAUUGCAGAAUUCAGUGAAUCAUCGAAUCUUUGAACGCACAUUGCGCCCGCCAGUAUUCUGGCGGGCAUGCCUGUUCGAGCGUCAUUUCAACCCUCAAGCACAGCUUGG
Molecule: ribosomal RNA, 158 nt
Filed under: Fusarium oxysporum
Lineage: Eukaryota; Fungi; Ascomycota; Sordariomycetes; Hypocreales; Nectriaceae
Description: 5.8S ribosomal RNA
Rfam family: 5.8S ribosomal RNA (bases 1-134)
About the family: 5.8S ribosomal RNA (5.8S rRNA) is a component of the large subunit of the eukaryotic ribosome. It is transcribed by RNA polymerase I as part of the 45S precursor that also contains 18S and 28S rRNA.
Source: RNAcentral